Molecule: long non-coding RNA, 650 nt
Organism: Homo sapiens (human)
Lineage: Eukaryota; Metazoa; Chordata; Mammalia; Primates; Hominidae
Product: long intergenic non-protein coding RNA 943
Source: Ensembl
ACAGAGACUGAAAAUAAGAAAGGGGUGAGGCCUAAGGGACAAUCAGGAUGUUUUUCAGAGAGAAGUGUGGAUGCUGGACAGGAAGAACCACAGAUACCAGAUACGGCUGCGUAUCUUCUGGAUACGGAAGGAUCACACUGCACAGAGUGCUGGACUUGCAGGAGCCCCGCUUCUCAACCUCCAUCGCUUUAUGAAUGAAUUCACCAGAAAGAAAAGGAAGAAUCAACACUUUCAGAGAUGGAGCCUGUUGAGCCACAGUACCAACUAGUCAAUGCUGAAUCGACUUCUCCCUUUCUACAUUGCCUGAGAGAAGUCAUUGGGGAAUACUCUAGAGUCAAGGGAUUGGAUUGUGGAUUGCAUUGGUGGUUUUCCUCAGUUUCCUCAUCUUCUCCACAAGUUUCUACAUAUCGAAUGCAGAGCAGCCCUUCUUCAAAGGACCUCCUACGGAAGCUGCUAAGGAACUCAGUCUGUAGCUCUGCGUGGAGCCAUGUGUAAACACUGAACUGAGACCUGCCACCUCCUACUACCUAAGGGCCCAUUUUCAUCUGAUAUCAUCCCCCAGAAACAAACUCAUGAUGACUUCCAUGUUUUUUUUAGAUUAGAUACAUGGAGAAUUUUCCUUUCCCUUAGAAUUAAAAUCCUGCAUUCUA